RNAcentral lists this ribosomal RNA (1041 nucleotides) under Ctenocephalides felis (cat flea). RNAcentral's name for it is "SSU rRNA". It matches the Rfam family "Eukaryotic small subunit ribosomal RNA", at positions 813 to 1823 of the family's 1831-position model. The record is from RNAcentral. Lineage: Eukaryota; Metazoa; Arthropoda; Insecta; Siphonaptera; Pulicidae.
AAUAAUGGAAUAGGACCUCGGUUUCUAUUUUUGUUUGUUUUUCGGAAUUCCGAGGUAAUGAAUUAUGAGGGACACUGGGGGCAUUCGUAUUGCGACCGUUAGAGGUGAAAUUCUUGGAUCGCGCAAGACGGACAGAACGAAAGCAUUUGCCAACUGGUGUUUCAUCAAUCAAGAACGAAAGUUAAGUUCGAAGGCGAUCAGAUACCGCCCUAGUUCUAACCAUAAACGAUGCCAGCUAGCGAUCCGCCGAAGUUCCCCGAUGACUCGGCGGGGCAGGCUUCCGGGAAACCAAAGCUUUUGGGUUCCGGGGGAAGUAUGGUUGCAAAGCUAAACGUAAAGGAAUUGACGGAAGGCACUACAAGGAGUGGAGCCUGCGCUUAAUUUGACUCAACACGGGAAACCUCACCAGGUCCGGACACCGGAAGGAUUGACAGAUUGAGAGCUCUUUCUUGAUUCGGUGGGUGGUGGUGCAUGGCCGUUCUUAGUUGGUGGAGCGAUUUGUCUGGUUAAUUCUGAUAACGAACGAGACUCUAGCCUGCUAAAUAGGCGUACUUUCUCCGGUAUCGCAAAGACCCUCCGCUUCGGCUUCGGUCGUUGUUGGUUGUGGUUCUUACUACCGGCGUACAAAUAUCUUCUUAGAGGGACAGGUGGCAUUUAGUCGCACGAAAUUGAGAAUAACAGGUCGUGAUGCCUUAGAUGUUCUGGGCCGCACGCGCGCGACACUGAAGAGAUCAGCAGGUUUUCCUUGGCCGAAAGGUCCGGGUAAUCCGUUGAAGCCUCUUCGUGCUAGGGAUUGGGGCUUGCAAUUCUUCCCCAUGAACGAGGAAUUCCUAGUAAGCGCGAGUCAUAAGCUUGCGUUGAUUACGUCCCUGCCCUUGUACACACCGCCCGUCGCUACUACCGAUUGAAUUAUUUAGUGAGGUCUUCGGACCGGUGCGCGGCAGCGUUUCGACAUUGCCGAUGUUGCUGGGAAGAUGACCAAACUUGAUUAUUUAGAGGAGUAAAAGUCGUAACAAGGUUUCCGUAGUGAACCUGCGGAAG